UUUAUAAUUUUUUUUGCGCGUCGUGGCAAAGAUAACGCACGUGCGCGAUAUAUAUUAAACCCGUUUUCUUAUUUUCGACGUUGUGGACAUGAUUUAGCACGCUGCUCAUUAUUCACGCGUGCCGGGGGGGGGGGCGUUGUGGCGCGAAAAGGUCGUUCUCGGAGUGGUGGAAAAUACGCGUCGCUGCGUCAGAGAGGGUGGGGUGGAAACCAUGGUAAACUCGUCUCCGUAGUUGAGCGGGAGAGUAAGUAGGACAGUGCAUUAUCCAUUAUUAGGCAACGGUUGUAAUGGUAGUAAGAAAGUGCAAUUGUCUUUGUAGUGGACCUGUGAGGGGCGAGCAUAAGGGACGAAGGCGGGAGUAACAUGUC
RNAcentral lists this unclassified non-coding RNA (368 nucleotides) under Thinopyrum intermedium. RNAcentral describes it as "non-transcribed spacer". Lineage: Eukaryota; Viridiplantae; Streptophyta; Magnoliopsida; Poales; Poaceae. The record is from RNAcentral.